This 504-nucleotide ribosomal RNA is filed under the name uncultured bacterium. Its description in RNAcentral is "partial 16S ribosomal RNA". It matches the Rfam family "Bacterial small subunit ribosomal RNA", at positions 30 to 523 of the family's 1533-position model. The record is from RNAcentral.
AUUGAACGCUGGCGGCAGGCCUAACACAUGCAAGUCGAACGGUAGCACAGAGAGCUUGCUCUCGGGUGACGAGUGGCGGACGGGUGAGUAAUGUCUGGGAAACUGCCCGAUGGAGGGGGAUAACUACUGGAAACGGUAGCUAAUACCGCAUAACGUCGCAAGACCAAAGUGGGGGACCUUCGGGCCUCACACCAUCGGAUGUGCCCAGAUGGGAUUAGCUAGUAGGUGGGAUAAUGGCUCACCUAGGCGACGAUCCCUAGCUGGUCUGAGAGGAUGACCAGCCACACUGGAACUGAGACACGGGCCAGACUCCUACGGGAGGCAGCAGUGGGGAAUAUUGCACAAUGGGCGCAAGCCUGAUGCAGCCAUGCCGCGUGUAUGAAGAAGGCCUUCGGGUUGUAAAGUACUUUCAGCGGGGAGGAAGGCGGUGAAGUUAAUAGCUUCACCGAUUGACGUUACCCGCAGAAGAAGCACCGGCUAACUCCGUGCCAGACGCCGCCGUAA